GCCCUCGUCGUUCAAUGGAUAGGAUGCUAGCUUGCGGAGCUUGCGAUGUAGGUUCGAUUCCUACCGAGGGCACAA
Molecule: transfer RNA, 75 nt
Filed under: Candidatus Yonathbacteria bacterium RIFCSPHIGHO2_01_FULL_44_41
Lineage: Bacteria; Candidatus Yonathiibacteriota
Also listed under: 2 other names
Description: tRNA-Arg
Rfam family: tRNA
About the family: Transfer RNA (tRNA) molecules are approximately 80 nucleotides in length. Their secondary structure includes four short double-helical elements and three loops (D, anti-codon, and T loops).
Source: RNAcentral